Papaver somniferum (opium poppy) is the source of this 342-nucleotide long non-coding RNA. RefSeq lists it as uncharacterized. The transcript is spliced from 2 exons. The record is from RefSeq and is a predicted model, not a curated record. Lineage: Eukaryota; Viridiplantae; Streptophyta; Magnoliopsida; Ranunculales; Papaveraceae.
UAACCAUAAUGCACUUCAGUGUCACUUACCUGGAGACAAGACCGUACCCAUUAAAGCUGCUGCUAUUUUCUUUCAUCUUCUCACUCCCCUGCUUUUUUUCAAGAUAUUUCACUGAGUGGAGAAAUUCUUAAAAUUAGCUCAAAAGGGUUUGAUUAGAAUCAAGUAUUCAGAAAGAUGGUUCACGAAUUAAGAAGUGGUUUCAAGUUUAGAGCUCCUCCAGUUAGAGAUUUAGUCGAACGUAGCAGCAGCAUAAACAAAUAUAAGAAUCCAGAUAAGAAGCUGAAAAUGUCAUUUGAGGCCAUGGAAGUAAAAGCAGAACAAAACCCUUGCUCAGAUUCUCUU